Tetranychus urticae (two-spotted spider mite) is the source of this 3227-nucleotide non-coding RNA. The record is from RefSeq and is a predicted model, not a curated record. Lineage: Eukaryota; Metazoa; Arthropoda; Arachnida; Trombidiformes; Tetranychidae.
GUACAGUUGUAGUCGUAGUUGACAUUACGAAAAAUUGAUGUUAUUCAGCUUCCGUCAUCCAAGAUAAAAAGCUAAAGACUUGCGCUGAGAUCACGAAAAUUUGACCAUAUUUUUAACCAUCAAAACUGGUUUCCAUUUACAAAUGGUCAAAUUUUUCUUGUCCCAAUUUGAAUAUCACCUUUUAAAUCAAACAUUAAUCACUUUAAUCCCAUCUUGAGUUUAAAACAAUGAAGCAUUUGAUGUUCACUGUGUCAUUUGAUAACUAAAUUGUUAAAAUUGAGGUCUCCAAGUGGUUUCUAGGUUCAGUUGGACAGUCUCGAAGUUUGUUUCCUUUUUGGUUGCCCAACAAACCCAACCUGGGAGAUUGUGUCUCAUUUGCAUUCAAGUAUAAAUUUGAUAAAAUUGAUACAUUUAUUGAUACAUAAAUUGUACAUUUAAGUCAUUUGGUUAUUCAAGAUUUAAUGAAAUUAGGUUUAACCAACUUUCAAUACAAAAGACACUAUAACACAACAUGCUUUAUACCAGGAAAAAAAAGUAAAGGUGUUCAUUUUGAAUCGUCUAAUGGGUUUACUUCAAGUUAUAAUGUAAUCUCAGGUUUCUUUAUCAACAAAAAGCAAGUAAAGUUGAAAACGUCUUGAGCUUUUACCUUUCAAGCUUCACAUGACUGAAAGAUGAAAACAAAAUUUACCUUUACUAAACAACAAAAGGCCUUUUUCCUUUACUCUUUCAAUAAUAAAUAAAUUUUUACUACACACAACCUUACCUUUGAGCAAAGUAGCCGGAAAUUUUGUACAAUCAAAUCGGUAAAACAAUCAAUCAAUAGGAAGAAAGAAGCAAUGAUAAAAUGAAAAUUAGUAAAUUUUUAAGAACCAAAUUGAUUCCAUAAACCAUGGCGAAAGAUGAAACAACACGAUCAUUUUACAUUAACAGUUUGAAUAGUAAAAAUGUAAAUACACUUUAAUUAUGUCUAAAGUGUAUUAAGCGUUUUAAUUAAAUGGUUAAAAUUGAAGUGACUUUGAAUAAAGACAAUCUGGUAACAAUCAGAAAACUCUGAGGAACCAUUUAAAGUAAAUGAUGACAAUUUUUGAUGUUGCUUUCCUUUCCAGCCGUUUUAAAUUACGUUACGGAUGAAUGUUACUUUUACUUAUUCAAUCUUCCCACCCUCUUCCUCCUCCAUCAACAUCACCAUCACCAUAACCAUCAACAUCGCCAUCAACAUCACCAUCAGCAUCGCUAAUAGUAUCAGCAGCUUUUUCAUUCAAAAAAACAACUAUCAACAUGAAAAAACAGUCUUUGCACAUUGACAUACAACAAUAACCCAAAGUCUGUACAUUUUCAUCUUGAUUAAUAUCACCAUCUCUGUUAUUCAACUGCCGUUAAAAUUAAUAAUUUAGAUUGAUAUCAGUUGAUUGUGCUCUAUGUAAGUCUGUUGAAGGUACUGGUGAAGCCAUUUUGUCGCUCUUUUUUCUGCUCCUAACUUCAAGGUGGAAAGUUGAGUCCUCGUUGUGUUGUUACCUUCCUUUUGUGUUCAUCUUUGUCCUGCUCCUUUGCUUUGUUAAGUCCUGGUCUUUGGUUCACAUAUGUUUACAAGCUUUUGGGUUGCGGUCCAAUGGUAACCAAAAUUUUACUCAAAACUUAUGAGUCUGUUGGGGAAGGAACAGAAAAUAAUUAUUUGUAUUCAUUAGAUUUUUACUUUUCUUUCUUCCUUUCUUACUAGACAUGUAAAAUAUAAAUUGUUGUUUAAUUGUUACGCCUGAUCACCUUAUCAUUCAAUCAACAGUUUAUAUCAUCUUUCCGGAAUGUUUGACGCUGUUUGAUAGUAACUUUGAGAUGAAUAAAUUAAUGUUAGAUUAGAAAAGUAAAACACGUAAAAAUGUUUAAUACAAAACAUUGAUGUCGCUAAGAGACUGUUCAAUUAAUUGAGAAAUGAAGGUAAAAAUUAUUCGGUUAAAUAUUUGAACGCGAAGGUAAAUAAAUGCGAGACAAUCUUUUAAAUGUUUCUCUUCAUGCUAUGUUCAUCUUUUUUAUAAGCAAUUUUAUGUUUUUUUUGUGUUUCAUUUAUUCAUUACAUGUAUAAAUUGACCGACAAUUGUAUUAUUUUUUGUAAUUGAUUUUGUUUUAGUAAAAAAAGUGGACGAAGUUGUAGCAAAAGAGAUUGUGAUUUGUCAGAGAAGGGAAAAAAGAGGAGGCAGAUUGAGAGAGAGAAAGGGAUGAAAAGGAAGGAUGAAGAGGAUGAAGGAUGCUGGAUGACGAGGAUAGAGAUGGGAAAGAGAUAGACAACAAUUUUCUGCUUUUCUCGACUUAAAUUUAGUCUCUCGGCCUAACACACCAAAACAAAAAUGAGCUAAUUUUACUUGGUCGCAAAUAGAGACAGGAAUUCAAGAAAAAGAAUAGGAAAAGGGGCGAAAAAGGAGAGGGAGAGAAGAAAAGGUUGUGUUUUUUUUUCUGCGAAAAACCGGAUUUAGAAGUUUGUUAAGAAAGUUUAGAAAUGUUUUCUUCUACUUCUCGUAGGGUGGUUAUUCUUAGAGGGCUUGGCUCUAUUUUUCUCUUCCAGUCUUCUUCUUAAGAGGAAAAGAGAGAGAAGGGGAGAGAGAUGAUGGGAAGAUGAUGGGAAAGAAAAGUAUCGAAGAAAAAAAGAAAGAAAAAGAAAAAAAGAGAGUAAAGAACACAAAUAAGAGUGAGGAACCUGUAAGAGAAGAAAGAAAAGGCAAGGAAAGGAAAUGGCGGAUGGAGUGAGUAAAGAUGAUAAAGAAAGAGAAGAAAAACUGAAAAAAUUCUCACUACCAAAUAAAAUAGGUAAAAAUUGAAAAGGUGGAUAAAUUAAAGGUGACGAGCACUGUAUUAAUACAUUCCACUAACUUGAAAUUAAACAAAGAGAGUGGAUGAGGCAAGUGAAUUUGAGUGUUGUGUGUGUGUGUGUAAGGUUUUAAAGAAAAGGGACAACAAAAAAUACUAAAUUCAAAGUGUUUUUAAUAUUGAAAAAUGAAUUUAGAUAUUGAAAAACAGCUUUGAUUUUGGUUGAGUUCACCCUUGAUGGUGUCCGUUGGCAAUUAAAGAGGAGGUUAAAAGCAUAAGGAAAGUUUCUAUAAAUUAAUUGUAGAAGUAGUCAACGUCGUCUUCGGUAUACCUUGAUGAGGAUUAUUGAGUUGCAUUUAUAAUUGUUUUUUUUAUUGUUGCAAAAGGUGUGCUUGUUGUGUGUAUGCAUUGUAUACAUGAUUCGAGAUGCA